GAUGAACGCUGGCGGCGUGCCUAAUACAUGCAAGUAGAACGCUGAAGGAAGGAGCUUGCUCUUUCCGGAUGAGUUGCGCACGGGUGAGUAACGCGUAGGUAACCUGCCUGGUAGCGGGGGAUAACUAUUGGAAACGAUAGCUAAUACCGCAUAACAGUAGAUGUUGCAUGAUAUCUACUUAAAAGGUGCAAUUGCACCACUACCAGAUGGACCUGCGUUGUAUUAGCUAGUUGGUGAGGUAACGGCUCACCAAGGCGACGAUACAUAGCCGACCUGAGAGGGUGAUCGGCCACACUGGGACUGAGACACGGCCCAGACUCCUACGGGAGGCAGCAGUAGGGAAUCUUCGGCAAUGGACGGAAGUCUGACCGAGCAACGCCGCGUGAGUGAAGAAGGUUUUCGGAUCGUAAAGCUCUGUUGUAAGAGAAGAACGAGUGUGAGAGUGGAAAGUUCACACUGUGACGGUAUCUUACCAGAAAGGGACGGCUAACUACGUG
This 497-nucleotide ribosomal RNA is filed under the name uncultured bacterium. Its description in RNAcentral is "partial 16S ribosomal RNA". It matches the Rfam family "Bacterial small subunit ribosomal RNA", at positions 28 to 507 of the family's 1533-position model. The record is from RNAcentral.